GAUGAACGCUGGCGGCGUGCUUAACACAUGCAAGUCGAACGGAAAGGCCCAAGCUUGCUUGGGUACUCGAGUGGCGAACGGGUGAGUAACACGUGGGUGAUCUGCCCUGCACUUCGGGAUAAGCCUGGGAAACUGGGUCUAAUACCGGAUAGGACCACUUCUUGGAUGUUGUGGUGGAAAGUUUUUUCGGUGUGGGAUGAGCUCGCGGCCUAUCAGCUUGUUGGUGGGGUAAUGGCCUACCAAGGCGUCGACGGGUAGCCGGCCUGAGAGGGUGUACGGCGACAUUGGGACUGAGAUACGGCCCAGACUCCUACGGGAGGCAGCAGUGGGGAAGAGUGCACAAUGGGCGCAAGCCUGAUGCAGCGACGCCGCGUGGGGGAUGACGGCCUUCGGGUUGUAAACUCCUUUCGCUAGGGACGAAGCGUUUUGUGACGGUACCUGGAGAAGAAGCACCGGCUAACUACGUG
This 467-nucleotide ribosomal RNA is filed under the name uncultured bacterium. RNAcentral describes it as "partial 16S ribosomal RNA". It matches the Rfam family "Bacterial small subunit ribosomal RNA", at positions 28 to 507 of the family's 1533-position model. The record is from RNAcentral.